Octadecabacter antarcticus 307 is the source of this 71-nucleotide non-coding RNA. NCBI's taxonomy places the organism in Bacteria, Pseudomonadati, Pseudomonadota, Alphaproteobacteria, Rhodobacterales, Roseobacteraceae. The record is from Rfam.
AUCCCUUGGUGAUGGGGUUACAUCACCACCUCCCUGUUGGACUUGCCCCGGCCUUUUGGUCGGGGUUUUUU